GUCGAACGGAAAGGCCCUUCGGGGUACUCGAGUGGCGAACGGGUGAGUAACACGUGGGUGAUCUGCCCUGCACUUCGGGAUAAGCCUGGGAAACUGGGUCUAAUACCGGAUAUGACCACAUGAUGCAUGUCGUGUGGUGGAAAGCUUUUGCGGUGUGGGAUGGGCCCGCGGCCUAUCAGCUUGUUGGUGGGGUCACGGCCUACCAAGGCGACGACGGGUAGCCGGCCUGAGAGGGUGACCGGCCACACUGGGACUGAGAUACGGCCCAGACUCCUACGGGAGGCAGCAGUGGGGAAUAUUGCACAAUGGGCGCAAGCCUGAUGCAGCGACGCCGCGUGAGGGACGACGGCCUUCGGGUUGUAAACCUCUUUCAGCACAGACGAAGCGCGAGUGACGGUAUGUGCAGAAGAAGGACCGGCCAACUACGUGCCAGCAGCCGCGGUAAUACGUAGGGUCCGAGCGUUGUCCGGAAUUACUGGGCGUAAAGAGCUCGUAGGUGGUUUGUCGCGUUGUUCGUGAAAACUCACAGCUCAACUGUGGGCGUGCGGGCGAUACGGGCAGACUAGAGUACUGCAGGGGAGACUGGAAUUCCUGGUGUAGCGGUGGAAUGCGCAGAUAUCAGGAGGAACACCGGUGGCGAAGGCGGGUCUCUGGGCAGUAACUGACGCUGAGGAGCGAAAGCGUGGGGAGCGAACAGGAUUAGAUACCCUGGUAGUCCACGCCGUAAACGGUGGGUACUAGGUGUGGGU
Molecule: ribosomal RNA, 749 nt
Filed under: Mycobacterium sp.
Lineage: Bacteria; Bacillati; Actinomycetota; Actinomycetes; Mycobacteriales; Mycobacteriaceae
Description: bacterial SSU rRNA
Rfam family: Bacterial small subunit ribosomal RNA
Source: RNAcentral